RNAcentral lists this ribosomal RNA (481 nucleotides) under uncultured bacterium. RNAcentral's name for it is "partial 16S ribosomal RNA". It matches the Rfam family "Bacterial small subunit ribosomal RNA", at positions 28 to 507 of the family's 1533-position model. The record is from RNAcentral.
GAUGAACGCUGGCGGCGUGCUUAACACAUGCAAGUCGAACGAAGCACUUUAUUUGAUUUCCUUCGGGACUGAUUAUUUUGUGACUGAGUGGCGGACGGUUGAGUAACGCGUGGGUAACCUGCCUUGUACAGGGGGAUAACAGUUGGAAACGGCUGCUAAUACCGCAUAAGCGCACAGCAUCGCAUGAUGCAGUGUGAAAAAUUCCGGUGGUAUAAGAUGGACCCGCGUUGGAUUAGCUAGUUGGUGAGGUAACGGCCCACCAAGGCGACGAUCCAUAGCCGACCUGAGAGGGUGACCGGCCACAUUGGGACUGAGACACGGCCCAGACUCCUACGGGAGGCAGCAGUGGGGAAUAUUGCACAAUGGGCGAAAGCCUGAUGCAGCGACGCCGCGUGAGCGAAGAAGUAUUUCGGUAUGUAAAGCUCUAUCAGCAGGGAAGAUAAUGACGGUACCUGACUAAGAAGCACCGGCUAAAUACGUG